AUCCAGACUCCUACGGGAGGCAGCAGUGGGGGAUAUUGCACAAUGGGGGAAACCCUGAUGCAGCGACGCCGCGUGAGUGAAGAAGUAAUUCGUUACGUAAAGCUCUAUCAGCAGGGAAGAAAAUGACGGUACCUGACUAAGAAGCCCCGGCUAACUACGUGCCAGCAGCCGCGGUAAUACGUAGGGGGCAAGCGUUAUCCGGAUUUACUGGGUGUAAAGGGAGCGUAGACGGCAUGGCAAGUCAGAUGUGAAAGCCCGGGGCUCAACCCCGGGACUGCAUUUGAAACUGUCAGGCUGGAGUGCAGGAGAGGUAAGUGGAAUUCCUAGUGUAGCGGUGAAAUGCGUAGAUAUCAGGAGGAACACCGGUGGCGAAGGCGGCCUGCUGGACUGCAACUGACGUUGAGGCCCGAAAGCGUGGGGAGCAAACAGGAUUAGAUACCCCAGUAA
This 447-nucleotide ribosomal RNA is filed under the name uncultured bacterium. RNAcentral describes it as "bacterial SSU rRNA". It matches the Rfam family "Bacterial small subunit ribosomal RNA", at positions 329 to 793 of the family's 1533-position model. The record is from RNAcentral.